GACGAACGCUGGCGGCGUGCUUAACACAUGCAAGUCGAGCGGUAAGGCCCUUUCGGGGGUACGACGAGCGGCGAACGGGUUGAGUAACACGUGGGUGACCUGCCCUCAGCUCUGGGAUAAGCCUGGGAAACCGGGUCUAAUACUGGAUAUGACUCCAUGACGCAUGUUGUGGGGUGGAAAGCCUUGUGCGGCUGAGGAUGGGCCCGCGGCCUAUCAGCUUGUUGGUGGGGUGAGGCCUACCAAGGCGACGACGGGUAGCCGGCCUGAGAGGGCGACCGGCCACACUGGGACUGAGACACGGCCCAGACUCCUACGGGAGGCAGCAGGUGGGGAAUCUUGCGCAAGUGGGCGAAAGCCUGACGCAGCGACGCCGCGUGAGGGAU
RNAcentral lists this ribosomal RNA (383 nucleotides) under uncultured bacterium. RNAcentral describes it as "bacterial SSU rRNA". It matches the Rfam family "Bacterial small subunit ribosomal RNA", at positions 28 to 409 of the family's 1533-position model. The record is from RNAcentral.